UACAAUUUUAAUUUUAAUGUC
RNAcentral lists this non-coding RNA (21 nucleotides) under Caenorhabditis elegans. Lineage: Eukaryota; Metazoa; Nematoda; Chromadorea; Rhabditida; Rhabditidae. The record is from RNAcentral.